UUCAACUUGAUUCGAUUUUUUCAUUCCGCCUCCUCCCUUCUCUCAGACUCCCUCUCACACUGCCUCUCUCAAUCACUUUUGCCUCUCUCUUCCAGAUUUAUCACUCGAUCUCUCUCAGUCACUCUCUCUGUCUCAGCCGCUCUCUCUCAGUCACUCACUCUCUCUCUCUUACCGCGCUCUCUGUCAGCCACUGUCUCUCAAUCACUCACGCUCUCUCUUAAACACUCACUCUCGUCUCCCUCAACCGGUUUCUCUCUCUCUCUCUCUCUCUCAGCCGAUUUUUCUCACCCGCUCUCUCUCUUUCCAGAUUUUUCUCACCCGAUCUCUCUCUUUCCAGAUUUUUCUCACCCGAUCUCUCAGUCACUCAGUCACUCAGUCUCUCUGUGUCUCUCUCACCCGUUCACUCUGAGUCUCUCUCGCUCGCUCUCAGUUUGAGAAUUGAUUUUGAGAUCAUAGGAAACGAUUGGCUUGCUGUAGGUAAUUUUUCUGAUCUGACACUGUUUUUGUUUGAUUUUUUUCUGGUGGUGUUGUAAUUUCUGGUAAUAUCUAGGAUCAUAGAAUUGAUUUUGGGACAGAAAUUAUUGUAAUAUUGAGUAAUUAUUUAUGGGAUAGAAUUGAUUUUG
This is a non-coding RNA of Prunus avium (sweet cherry), 623 nucleotides long. Lineage: Eukaryota; Viridiplantae; Streptophyta; Magnoliopsida; Rosales; Rosaceae. The record is from RefSeq and is a predicted model, not a curated record.